Non-coding RNA from Acanthosepion pharaonis, 95 nucleotides. Lineage: Eukaryota; Metazoa; Mollusca; Cephalopoda; Sepiida; Sepiidae. The record is from the annotation of a GenBank genome assembly.
GUUGAAACACCGGUUCUCGUCCGACCACUGAAGUUAAGGAACGUCUAGCCUGGUCAGUACUUAAAUGGGUUGACCGCUUGGUAAUACCACGUGCU